GUUGUAUCUCCAGAGGAACAGUUAUAGUGGUGAGUUGUAUCUCCAGACAGAGGGACAGUUAUAGUGGUGAGUUGUAUCUCCAGACAUAGGAACAGUUAUAGUGGUGAGUUGUAUCUCCAGAGGAACAGUUCUAGUGGUGAGUUGUAUCGCCAGAGGAACAGUUAUAGUGGUGAGUUGUAUCGCCAGAGGAACAGUUAUAGUGGUGAGUUGUAUCCCCAGACAGAGGAACAGUUAUAGUGGUGAGUUGUAUCUCCAGACAUAGGAACAGUUAUAGUGGUGAGUUGUAUCUCCAGACAGAGGAACAGUUAUAGUGGUGAGUUGUAUCUCCAGAGGAACAGUUAUAGUGGUGAGUUGUAUCUCCAGACAGAGGAACAGUCAUAGUGGUGAGUUGUAUCUCCAGACAGAGGAACAGUUAUAGUGGUGAGUUGUAUCUCCA
Oncorhynchus tshawytscha (Chinook salmon) is the source of this 436-nucleotide long non-coding RNA. Lineage: Eukaryota; Metazoa; Chordata; Actinopteri; Salmoniformes; Salmonidae. The record is from Ensembl.